UUCCCUACGGGAGGCAGCAGUGAGGAAUAUUGGUCAAUGGCCGAGAGGCUGAACCAGCCAAGUCGCGUGAGGGAGGACGGCCCUACGGGUUGUAAACCUCUUUUGUCAGGGAGCAAGGGACAGGUCGUGACCUGUUGUGAGAGUACCUGAAGAAAAAGCAUCGGCUAACUCCGUGCCAGCAGCCGCGGUAAUACAGAGGAUGCGAGCGUUAUCCGGAUUUAUUGGGUUUAAAGGGUG
RNAcentral lists this ribosomal RNA (237 nucleotides) under uncultured bacterium. RNAcentral's name for it is "partial 16S ribosomal RNA". It matches the Rfam family "Bacterial small subunit ribosomal RNA", at positions 335 to 569 of the family's 1533-position model. The record is from RNAcentral.